GCACUUGGCCUAAAUACCUUAAAGGCACCAAAUCCUGUCAGAUCUUGGAAGCUAAGCAAGGUUAGCUCUGGUUAGUACUAGGAUGGGAGACCAUCAAUGGAUACCUGGUGCCAUAGGCA
RNAcentral lists this ribosomal RNA (119 nucleotides) under Anolis carolinensis (green anole). The record is from RNAcentral. Lineage: Eukaryota; Metazoa; Chordata; Lepidosauria; Squamata; Anolidae.